CCCCUGGAGGGCUAGUGGUUAGGCCACAGCGCUCUCACUGCUGCAGCCCAGGUUUGAUUCCUGGCCAGGGAA
RNAcentral lists this transfer RNA (72 nucleotides) under Pangasianodon gigas (Mekong giant catfish). RNAcentral's name for it is "tRNA-Glu". It matches the Rfam family "tRNA". From Rfam's summary of the family: Transfer RNA (tRNA) molecules are approximately 80 nucleotides in length. Their secondary structure includes four short double-helical elements and three loops (D, anti-codon, and T loops). Further hydrogen bonds mediate the characteristic L-shaped molecular structure. tRNAs have two regions of fundamental functional importance: the anti-codon, which is responsible for specific mRNA codon recognition, and the 3' end, to which the tRNAs corresponding amino acid is attached (by aminoacyl-tRNA synthetases). tRNAs cope with the degeneracy of the genetic code in two manners: having more than one tRNA (with a specific anti-codon) for a particular amino acid; and 'wobble' base-pairing, i.e. permitting non-standard base-pairing at the 3rd anti-codon position. The record is from RNAcentral. Lineage: Eukaryota; Metazoa; Chordata; Actinopteri; Siluriformes; Pangasiidae.